UAAAGGAAAUCACGGAAGAAUGAGAGUUUAGGAGCAGAGGAAGGGGCAGGAUGAAAGAAGAGAAAGAAAGAGAACAUGAAAAGGGACCAAACAGCUAUUCUUUAAUGAUGAAGGAAGUCCGGAUUCCCUUCAAAAGUGAGGUCUCUAAUUCCAUGGCUUUCUGCCAUCUGGAAUGGCAGAAGAAAACAACUGGGGUGGCAGACACUUCUGGCUGAGGAUGGAAAUGGAGGAGAAAGCUGGCAGUAUACGAAUGAAGGAAAAAACAGUCCACAUUCAGCCUGCUGACAUCUGCUGCACAUACUGAAUGGGUUGGCCUGUAAUCCAGGGUGAAAACAAAUGCUUUCUUCCUUCCUUCCUCCUGUUCCAUAGUUAUUAUUGAGUGAUGGUCUCAUUCUUUUUGCAUUCACAGAUUAAAAUUAAUAACAGCAUCUGAAUUUGAAGUAGGUUCCACUGAAUGGUGAACCAGAAACUAAAUGAGCUGCGGAAAUUAGUAAUGAAGCAUUUGAAUAGGAAGGGGUCAUGGACAAACACCAUUUUUCAAAAGCCAGAUUUACCUCAGGAUGAUGUCCAAUUUCAAUGUAGGUGCAAAUUGGAUGAAAAGCCCCCGUUCCACAGGCAUACAAGUGGGUCUGAUUAUAAACCUUAAGCACCUUGAUGAAAUUAGCACACUCUUUCUGUAAGAAAAAAAGAAAAACCAGUGAGUUCUAGGGGUUAUAGCAUGACCUCUAGGGUGCUGGGCAU
Choloepus didactylus (southern two-toed sloth) is the source of this 741-nucleotide long non-coding RNA. RefSeq lists it as uncharacterized. The record is from RefSeq and is a predicted model, not a curated record. NCBI's taxonomy places the organism in Eukaryota, Metazoa, Chordata, Mammalia, Pilosa, Megalonychidae. The transcript is spliced from 3 exons.